This 256-nucleotide long non-coding RNA is filed under the name Homo sapiens (human). RNAcentral's name for it is "LHRI_LNC1745.1". The record is from RNAcentral. Lineage: Eukaryota; Metazoa; Chordata; Mammalia; Primates; Hominidae.
UGCACUCCAGACUGGGUGACAGAGUGAGACUCCAUCUCAAAAACAAAACAAAACAAAACAAACAAACAAAAAACAAAAACCCUUUGGAAUCAGGCACACCUAGGUCGCGGCUGUGACUUGAGCUCUUUGUGGCUGGGUGCAUUGGAGCCAAUUAUUUAACUUCACUGAGACUUCACGCUGUCAUCUGUAAAGUGAGUAGGGUGGUGCCAGGAGUGUUAAAGCAGGUAAGGGACAGAUGUAACGUUUUGGGCACAGG